Molecule: ribosomal RNA, 460 nt
Filed under: uncultured bacterium
Lineage: Bacteria
Description: partial 16S ribosomal RNA
Rfam family: Bacterial small subunit ribosomal RNA
Source: RNAcentral
CCUACGGGUGGCAGCAGUGAGGAAUAUUGGGCAAUGGACGAGAGUCUGAACCAGCCAAGUAGCGUGAAGGAUGACGGCCCUAUGGGUGGUAAACUUCUUUUAUAUGGGAAUAAAAUGGUCCACGUGUGGGAUUUUGUAUGUACCAUAUGAAUAAGGAUCGGCUAACUCCGUGCCAGCAUCCGCGGUAAUACGGAGGAUCCGAGCGUUAUCCGGAUUUAUUGGGUUUAAAGGGAGCGUAGGUGGAUUGUUAAGUCAGUUGUGAAAGUUUGCGGCUCAACCGUAAAAUUGCAGUUGAAACUGGCAGUCUUGAGUACAGUAGAGGUUGGCGGAAUUCGUGGUGUAGCGGUGAAAUGCUUAGAUAUCACGAAGAACUCCGAUUGCGAAGGCAGCUCACUGGACUGCAACUGACACUGAGGCUCGAAAGUGUGGGUAUCAAACAGGAUUAGAUACCCGAGUAGUC